UACGUAGGGUGCGAGCGUUAUUCGGAUUUACUGGGCGUAAAGCGUGCGCAGGCGGCCCGUUAAGACAGGUGUGAAAUCCCUGGGCUCAACCUAGGAAUUGCGCUUGUGACUGGCGGGCUCGAGUACGGUAGAGGGGGGUGGAAUUCCUGGUGUAGCAGUGAAAUGCGUAGAGAUCAGGAGGAACACCGAUGGCGAAGGCAGCCCCCUGGGCCUGUACUGACGCUCAGGCACGAAAGCGUGGGGAGCAAACAGG
RNAcentral lists this ribosomal RNA (253 nucleotides) under uncultured microorganism. Its description in RNAcentral is "partial 16S ribosomal RNA". It matches the Rfam family "Bacterial small subunit ribosomal RNA", at positions 524 to 776 of the family's 1533-position model. The record is from RNAcentral.